CUGCGUGACGAAGCGCGUGCUAAAGUGGACAAUAAAGGCUGAAGCUACGCGUGAGUCGCCAAAAACGCCGGGUGAUCCGGCGUUUUUUA
Pluralibacter gergoviae is the source of this 89-nucleotide small RNA. It matches the Rfam family "sroD RNA". From Rfam's summary of the family: This family consists of a number of bacterial sroD RNA genes of around 90 bases in length. sroD is found in several Enterobacterial species but its function is unknown. Lineage: Bacteria; Pseudomonadati; Pseudomonadota; Gammaproteobacteria; Enterobacterales; Enterobacteriaceae. The record is from Rfam.